GUGGAGCGACGAACCGGGGCUUGCCCCGGGGCAGAGCCGCGAACGGGUGAGUAACACGUGGGUUACCUGCCCUGAUGACCGGGACAACCCGUCGAAAGACGGGCUAAUACCGGAUGUGCCCGCAAGGGGAAAGGAGGCGUAAGCUUCCGCAUCGGGAUGGGCCCGCGGAGCAUUAGCUUGUUGGUGAGGUAAAAGCUCACCAAGGCUUCGAUGCUUAGCUGGUCUGAGAGGACGAUCAGCCACACUGGGACUGAGACACGGCCCAGACUCCUACGGGAGGCAGCAGUGGGGAAUCUUGCGCAAUGCACGAAAGUGUGACGCAGCAACGCCGCGUGCGGGAAGACGGCCUUCGGGUUGUAAACCGCUUUCAGUUGGGACGAAGGUUCUGCGGUUAAUACCCGUACGGACUGACAGUACCUUCAGAAGAAGCCCCGGCUAACUACGUGCCAGCAGCCGCG
Molecule: ribosomal RNA, 458 nt
Filed under: uncultured soil bacterium
Lineage: Bacteria
Description: bacterial SSU rRNA
Rfam family: Bacterial small subunit ribosomal RNA
Source: RNAcentral